AAGACCUUGCGCUUUUGGAGCGGCCGAUGCCUGAUUAGCUUGUUGGUAAGGUAAAAGCUUACCAAGGCUUCGAUCAGUAGCUGGUCUGAGAGGACGACCAGCCACACUGGGACUGAGACACGGCCCAGACUCCUACGGGAGGCAGCAGUGGGGAAUUUUGGACAAUGGGCGCAAGCCUGAUCCAGCCAUGCCGCGUGAGUGAAGAAGGCCUUCGGGUUGUAAAGCUCUUUCAGCCGGGAAGAAAAGGUUGCGACUAAUAAUCGCAAUCCAUGACGGUACCGAAAGAAGAAGCACCGGCUAACUACGUGCCAGCAGCCGCGGUAAUACGUAGGGUGCGAGCGUUAAUCGGAAUUACUGGGCGUAAAGGGUGCGCAGGCGGUUUUGUAAGUCAGAUGUGAAAGCCCCGGGCUCAACCUGGGAACU
This 423-nucleotide ribosomal RNA is filed under the name uncultured bacterium. RNAcentral's name for it is "bacterial SSU rRNA". It matches the Rfam family "Bacterial small subunit ribosomal RNA", at positions 207 to 622 of the family's 1533-position model. The record is from RNAcentral.